ACUGUGAGCUCGAUGAGUAGGGCGGGACACGUGGUAUCCUGUCUGAAUAUGGGGGGACCAUCCUCCAAGGCUAAAUACUCCUGACUGACCGAUAGUGAACCAGUACCGUGAGGGAAAGGCGAAAAGAACCCCGGCGAGGGGAGUGAAAAAGAACCUGAAACCGUGUACGUACAAGCAGUGGGAGCACGCUUAGGCGUGUGACUGCGUACCUUUUGUAUAAUGGGUCAGCGACUUAUAUUCUGUAGCAAGGUUAACCGAAUAGGGGAGCCGAAGGGAAACCGAGUCUUAACUGGGCGUUAAGUUGCAGGGUAUAGACCCGAAACCCGGUGAUCUAGCCAUGGGCAGGUUGAAGGUUGGGUAACACUAACUGGAGGACCGAACCGACUAAUGUUGAAAAAUUAGCGGAUGACUUGUGGCUGGGGGUGAAAGGCCAAUCAAACCGGGAGAUAGCUGGUUCUCCCCGAAAGCUAUUUAGGUAGCGCCUCGUGAAUUCAUCUCCGGGGGUAGAGCACUGUUUCGGCAAGGGGGUCAUCCCGACUUACCAACCCGAUGCAAACUGCGAAUACCGGAGAAUGUUAUCACGGGAGACACACGGCGGGUGCUAACGUCCGUCGUGAAGAGGGAAACAACCCAGACCGCCAGCUAAGGUCCCAAAGUCAUGGUUAAGUGGGAAACGAUGUGGGAAGGCCCAGACAGCCAGGAUGUUGGCUUAGAAGCAGCCAUCAUUUAAAGAAAGCGUAAUAGCUCACUGGUCGAGUCGGCCUGCGCGGAAGAUGUAACGGGGCUAAACCAUGCACCGAAGCUGCGGCAGCGACGCUUAUGCGUUGUUGGGUAGGGGAGCGUUCUGUAAGCCUGUGAAGGUGUGCUGUGAGGCAUGCUGGAGGUAUCAGAAGUGCGAAUGCUGACAUAAGUAACGAUAAAGCGGGUGAAAAGCCCGCUCGCCGGAAGACCAAGGGUUCCUGUCCAACGUUAAUCGGGGCAGGGUGAGUCGACCCCUAAGGCGAGGCCGAAAGGCGUAGUCGAUGGGAAACAGGUUAAUAUUCCUGUACUUGGUGUUA
RNAcentral lists this ribosomal RNA (1058 nucleotides) under Escherichia coli. Its description in RNAcentral is "partial 23S ribosomal RNA". It matches the Rfam family "Bacterial large subunit ribosomal RNA", at positions 396 to 1453 of the family's 2925-position model. Lineage: Bacteria; Pseudomonadati; Pseudomonadota; Gammaproteobacteria; Enterobacterales; Enterobacteriaceae. The record is from RNAcentral.